GAUGCUGCCAGAGCUUACGAUUGUGUGGCUUUUUAAGCUGAGAGGAAGAAAAGCCAUCCUUAAGUUUCCGUUCGAUGCCGGAAAUUUAAUACCGCAGGUGACGAUUGGCCGGAAGAGGAGAAUUGAUCAGUGAUGCACUUAGUUGAGUGGGUUUUUGUUUUAAAUAAACUAAAUCAAUUUGUCGGUUUAUUUUAAGUAAACCUAAUUGAUUGUGGUC
This 217-nucleotide unclassified non-coding RNA is filed under the name Hevea brasiliensis (rubber tree). The record is from RNAcentral. Lineage: Eukaryota; Viridiplantae; Streptophyta; Magnoliopsida; Malpighiales; Euphorbiaceae.